This is a small nucleolar RNA of Lampris incognitus (smalleye Pacific opah), 170 nucleotides long. RefSeq annotates it as small nucleolar RNA SNORA23. Lineage: Eukaryota; Metazoa; Chordata; Actinopteri; Lampriformes; Lampridae. The record is from RefSeq and is a predicted model, not a curated record. The transcript has a single exon.
GGUGGAUGGUGUGCAUAGAAUUGGUCUGUGUUAUGUGCUGUUGUCUUGCUGUGUUUUACAGUGAUGCAGCAGUGCUCACUCCGCACCUGCAGCCAUAGAUGAAUUGGAGAUCAUAGUACUGGCCAUUGACCUUUUUCACCAUUGGUCAGCCUCCAUACUCUCCUACAUCU